This 534-nucleotide long non-coding RNA is filed under the name Sander lucioperca (pikeperch). Its description in RNAcentral is "lncRNA (ENSSLUG00000011009.1)". The record is from RNAcentral. Lineage: Eukaryota; Metazoa; Chordata; Actinopteri; Perciformes; Percidae.
CUGGGGGUAGGCUAUCUCGGAAAUAAUCUGCCCACGCGUUAAGCUGCUUUAUCCCCGCCAAGCCUCAGCCGGACAGAGACUGAACCAGCUCUGCUACCUCCCACAGGGAAGUUGGAAUCAUAGUGGGAGAAAGAAAAAGUGCCACAGGGUGCGGAAUUAAGUUUGACAAAUCUUUGUUUUGUGAAUUAGAGGAGUGUGUUUGUCACAUACAUGGAAACCUGACCGGACCCUGACAAACAGACCUGAAGCUGAACCCGCCGUGUGUUCAUCCUGGGAGACAGGAGGCGUAAAACAAGUGCACACUGAGAAUUUAACCACAGCGAGAAGCUGGCAACGGUGUUUUGGGCAUGGACAGCACUGGACUUUGGAUAUUCCUGAUAACAACUUGUCUUAUUCCAGAGGUUGAUGGUCCGCAUCCUUGGCUCACAUACUACACAUCGCACAUCCUCCGCCAUCCUGCUGCUAAAGAAUUAAACAAAGGCAACCCAGGGGAAGGUGGUGUCAAAGAGGACGGGAGGCUGGACCAUUAAAAAG